RNAcentral lists this ribosomal RNA (273 nucleotides) under uncultured bacterium. Its description in RNAcentral is "partial 16S ribosomal RNA". It matches the Rfam family "Bacterial small subunit ribosomal RNA", at positions 29 to 329 of the family's 1533-position model. The record is from RNAcentral.
AACGAACGCUGGCGGCAUGCCUAACACAUGCAAGUCGAACGAAGUCUUCGGACUUAGUGGCGCACGGGUGCGUAACGCGUGGGAAUCUGCCCUUGGGUGCGGAAUAACUUCUCGAAAGGGAUGCGUAAUACCGCAUAAUGUCGUAAGACCAAAGAUUUAUCGCCCAAGGAUGAGCCCGCGUAAGAUUAGCUAGUUGGUGGGUAAAAGCCUACCAAGGCGACGAUCUUUAGCUGGUCUGAGAGGAUGAUCAGCCACACUGGGACUGAGACACGG